GACGAACGCUGGCGGCGUGCUUAACACAUGCAAGUCGAACGGUAAGGCCCUUCGGGGUACACGAGUGGCGAACGGGUGAGUAACACGUGGGUGAUCUGCCCUGCACUUCGGGAUAAGCCUGGGAAACUGGGUCUAAUACCGGAUAGGACCCUGGGAUGCAUGUCCUGGGGUGGAAAGCUUUUGCGGUGUGGGAUGGGCCCGCGGCCUAUCAGCUUGUGGGGGGGGUGAUGGCCUACCAAGGCGACGACGGGUAGCCGGCCUGAGAGGGUGACCGGCCACAGAGGGACUGGUAUACGGCCCAGACUCCUACGGGAGGCAGCAGUGGGGAAUAUUGCACAAUGGGCGCAAGCCUGAUGCAGCAACGCCGCGUGAGGGAUGACGGCCUUCGGGUUGUAAACCUCUUUUAGUAGGGAAGAAGCGAAAGUGACGGUACCUGCAGAAAAAGCACCGGCUAACUACGUGCCAGCAGCCGCCGUAA
This 478-nucleotide ribosomal RNA is filed under the name uncultured bacterium. RNAcentral's name for it is "partial 16S ribosomal RNA". It matches the Rfam family "Bacterial small subunit ribosomal RNA", at positions 28 to 523 of the family's 1533-position model. The record is from RNAcentral.